UUUAAAUGGCCGCAGUACCUUGACUGUGCUAAGGUAGCAUAAUCAAUUGGCUUCUAAUUAAAGUCUGGAAUGAAAGGAAAUAUGAAGUAAUUCUAUCUUAAAGGAUUUUUUUUGAAUUUAUUUAAAUGAUGAAAAUAUCAUUUUAUAGAAAAAAGACGAGAAGACCCUUAGAGUUUUGAUAUUUAUAUAUUUUUGUUGGGGCGACAGGUAAACAUAUAACUUUACGAAUUAUUAUUGAUCGAUUUUUUAUAAGAAUAAUAAAACUACCUUAGGGAUAACAGCAUUAUAUUUUUUUAUGAUUGUGACCUC
Molecule: ribosomal RNA, 309 nt
Filed under: Biomphalaria straminea
Lineage: Eukaryota; Metazoa; Mollusca; Gastropoda; Planorbidae
Description: partial 16S ribosomal RNA
Source: RNAcentral